AUGGGCACCGGUCAGUGCUUCGGGCUUUCAUCAAGAAGACUCAGCUCCCUGGCUGGAUCACAAGGCUUCAGAGGAAAUGAGCUGUGCUGCGUCUUUGUCCCCCCACCUGGAGUCCACACCAGCAUGCAAACACUGACUCCAGUGGACAGUGGCUCUUGGCUGCUGGCUGUUCUGUGUGGACAGGGAAAUCUCAUCGCUGUAUUUCUGAAAGAUCUAAUGCCAUCCCUGAUACAGUUCCAGAGGUCAGAGAUGGGAGAACAGACUUUGUCCACAUGCAACGCAGAAACUAGCACCAGCGAUGGUGUCAGGAGCCCGGCAGGAAGCCAGGCCUGGCCACACCUCAAAGUCUGACCAGCUGAGUGUGGAUGGAUCCUGUCUGGUUCGU
Molecule: long non-coding RNA, 385 nt
Filed under: Fukomys damarensis (Damara mole-rat)
Lineage: Eukaryota; Metazoa; Chordata; Mammalia; Rodentia; Bathyergidae
Description: lncRNA (ENSFDAG00000027199.1)
Source: RNAcentral